GCGGGGGGGAGCUUACCAUGCAAGUCGAGCGGGGAAGGUAGCUUGCUACCUGACCUAGCGGCGGACGGGUGAGUAAUGCUUAGGAAUCUGCCUAUUAGUGGGGGACAACAUUCCGAAAGGAAUGCUAAUACCGCAUACGCCCUACGGGGGAAAGCAGGGGAUCUUCGGACCUUGCGCUAAUAGAUGAGCCUAAGUCAGAUUAGCUAGUUGGUGGGGUAAAGGCCUACCAAGGCGACGAUCUGUAGCGGGUCUGAGAGGAUGAUCCGCCACACUGGGACUGAGACACGGCCCAGACUCCUACGGGAGGCAGCAGUGGGGAAUAUUGGACAAUGGGCGAAAGCCUGAUCCAGCCAUGCCGCGUGUGUGAAGAAGGCCUUUUGGUUGUAAAGCACUUUAAGCGAGGAGGAGGCUACUUGGAUUAAUACUCUAGGAUAGUGGACGUUACUCGCAGAAUAAGCACCGGCUAACUCUGUGCCAGCAGCCGCGGUAAUACAGAGGGUGCGAGCGUUAAUCGGAUUUACUGGGCGUAAAGCGUGCGUAGGCGGCUUCUUAAGUCGGAUGUGAAAUCCCUGAGCUUAACUUAGGAAUUGCAUUCGAUACUGGGAAGCUAGAGUAUGGGAGAGGAUGGUAGAAUUCCAGGUGUAGCGGUGAAAUGCGUAGAGAUCUGGAGGAAUACCGAUGGCGAAGGCAGCCAUCUGGCCUAAUACUGACGCUGAGGUACGAAAGCAUGGGGAGCAAACAGGAUUAGAUACCCUGGUAGUCCAUGCCGUAAACGAUGUCUACUAGCCGUUGGGGCCUUUGAGGCUUUAGUGGCGCAGCUAACGCGAUAAGUAGACCGCCUGGGGAGUACGGUCGCAAGACUAAAACUCAAAGGAAUUGACGGA
Molecule: ribosomal RNA, 884 nt
Filed under: uncultured bacterium
Lineage: Bacteria
Description: bacterial SSU rRNA
Rfam family: Bacterial small subunit ribosomal RNA
Source: RNAcentral